Molecule: ribosomal RNA, 301 nt
Filed under: uncultured bacterium
Lineage: Bacteria
Description: partial 16S ribosomal RNA
Rfam family: Bacterial small subunit ribosomal RNA
Source: RNAcentral
CAGUAGCCGCGGUAAUACGUAGGUGGCAAGCGUUGUCCGGAAUUAUUGGGCGUAAAGGGCUCGCAGGCGGUUUCUUAAGUCUGAUGUGAAAGCCCCCGGCUCAACCGGGGAGGGUCAUUGGAAACUGGGAAACUUGAGUGCAGAGGAGGAGAGUGGAAUUCCACGUGUAGCGGUGAAAUGCGUAGAGAUGUGGAGGAACACCAGUGGCGAAGGCGACUCUCUGGUCUGUAACUGACGCUGAGGAGCGAAAGCGUGGGGAGCGAACAGGAUUAGAUACCCCAGUAGUCCCUGUCUCUUAUAC